CCUACGGGUGGCAGCAGUGAGGAAUAUUGGUCAAUGGACGAGAGUCUGAACCAGCCAAGUAGCGUGAAGGAUGACUGCCCUAUGGGUUGUAAACUUCUUUUAUAUGGGAAUAAAACGUUCCACGUGUGGGAUUUUGUAUGUACCAUAUGAAUAAGGAUCGGCUAACUCCGUGCCAGCAGCCGCGGUAAUACGGAGGAUCCGAGCGUUAUCCGGAUUUAUUGGGUUUAAAGGGAGCGUAGGUGGAUUGUUAAGUCAGUUGUGAAAGUUUGCGGCUAAACCGUAAAAUUGCAGUUGAAACUGGCAGUCUUGAGUACAGUAGAGGUGGGCGGAAUUCGUGGUGUAGCGGUGAAAUGCUUAGAUAUCACGAAGAACUCCGAUUGCGAAGGCAGUUCACUGGACUGCAACUGACACUGAGGCUCGAAAGUGUGGGUAUCAAACAGGAUUAGAUACCCUUGUAGUC
This 460-nucleotide ribosomal RNA is filed under the name uncultured bacterium. Its description in RNAcentral is "partial 16S ribosomal RNA". It matches the Rfam family "Bacterial small subunit ribosomal RNA", at positions 338 to 795 of the family's 1533-position model. The record is from RNAcentral.